UUUCAUGAGAAUUUGGGGUCAGAUGCUGAGAUUUGGGGCCGAUUGGGCUGAAUUUGGGGUCGGGUGCUGAGGUUUGGGGUCAGUCUGUGAGAGUUUGGGGUCAGAUGCUGAGAUUUGGGGUCAGAUGCUGAGAUUUGGGGCCGAUUGGGCUGAAUUUGGGGUCAGGUGCUGAGAUUUGGGGUCAGUUUGUGAGAAUUUGGGGUCAGAUGCUGAGAUUUGGGGUCAUUUCAUGAGAGUUCGGGGUCAGAUGCUGAGAUUUGGGGUCAGAUGCUGAGAUUUGGGGCCGAUUGGGCUGAAUUUGGGGUCGGGUGCUGAGAUUUGGGGUCAUUUUGUGAGGGUUUGGGGUCAGAUGCUGAGAUUUGGGAUCAGUUCAUGAGAGUUUGGGGUCAGAUGCUGAGAUUUGGGGUCAGAUGCUGAGAUUUGGGGCCGAUUGGGCUGAAUUUGGGGUCAGAUCUGGAGAUAUGGGGUCAUUUCGUGAGAGUUUGGGGUCAGAUGCUGAGAUUUGGGAUCAGUUCAUGAGAGUUUGGGGUCAGAUGCUGAGAUUUGGGGUCAGAUGCUGAGAUUUGGGGCCGAUUGGGCUGAAUUUGGGGUCAGGUGCUGAGAUUUGGGGUCAGGUGCUGAGAUUUGGGGUGAAUUCAGUGGGAUUUGGGGUCAUUUCCUGAGGUUUUGGGGUCAGGAGCUGAGAUUUGGGGCCGAUUGGGCUGAAUUUGGGGUCAGGAGCUGAGAUUUGGGGUCAGGUGCUGAGAUUUGGGGCCAAUUCAGCUGAAUUUGGGGUCAUUUCCUGAGAUUUGGGGUCGUUUUGUGGGAGUUUGGGGUGGAUUCUUUGGGAUUUGGGGUCAGGUCCUGCGAUUUUGGGGUCGAUCCCGGGGAUUUUGGGGUCACUUCUGUGCAAUUUGGGGUCGAUUCGGUUCCCAUUCCCCCCUCUUGGGGUCCCAAUCCCAAACAUUUGGGGUCGUUUCCUGGCAAUUGGGGUCCGCUGUGCCAAAUCCCAUUGAAUCCCCCCCAACUUCUGCCCCUAUUGGUGCCCCCCCUCCAAGUGCCUUCACCCACCCCAAAAAUGGGGGGGGUCCCCCGACCCCACAAUGUGCCCCCCCGACCCCACAAUCCACCCCUAAGACCCAUAACUCCCCCCCCCAGCCUUCCCCGACCCCAUAACCCCCCAGGUGCACCCCAACCCCACAAGGUGCCCCAUAACCCCCCCCCGACCCCUCAUCCUGACCCCACUAUGUGCCCCCCCCAACCCCAUAACCCACCCAUUAACCCUCCCCCAGCCCCCCCCCCCGACCCCAUAACCCCCCAAGGCGCACCCCAACCCCACAGUGUGCCCCAUAACCCCCCCCGACCAACCCCACAUCCUGACCCCAUAACCCCCCCCCAACCCCACAUCCUGACCCCACUUUGUGCCCUCCCCGACCCCACAACCCCCCAAGGCGCACCCCAACCCCACAAGGUGCCCCGUAACCCCCCCGAACAACCCCACAUCCUGACCCC
This 1491-nucleotide long non-coding RNA is filed under the name Gallus gallus (chicken). Lineage: Eukaryota; Metazoa; Chordata; Aves; Galliformes; Phasianidae. The record is from RNAcentral.